Molecule: ribosomal RNA, 308 nt
Filed under: uncultured bacterium
Lineage: Bacteria
Description: partial 16S ribosomal RNA
Rfam family: Bacterial small subunit ribosomal RNA
Source: RNAcentral
GAGACAGCAGUAGCCGCGGUAAUACAGAGGGUGCAAGCGUUAAUCGGAAUUACUGGGCGUAAAGCGCGCGUAGGUGGUUUGUUAAGUUGGAUGUGAAAUCUCCGGGCUCAACCUGGGAACUGCAUCCAAAACUGGCAAGCUAGAGUAUGGUAGAGGGUGGUGGAAUUUCCUGUGUAGCGGUGAAAUGCGUAGAUAUAGGAAGGAACACCAGUGGCGAAGGCGACCACCUGGACUGAUACUGACACUGAGGUGCGAAAGCGUGGGGAGCAAACAGGAUUAGAUACCCCUGUAGUCCCUGUCUCUUAUAC